RNAcentral lists this ribosomal RNA (253 nucleotides) under uncultured bacterium. RNAcentral describes it as "partial 16S ribosomal RNA". It matches the Rfam family "Bacterial small subunit ribosomal RNA", at positions 524 to 776 of the family's 1533-position model. The record is from RNAcentral.
UACGAAGGGGGCUAGCGUUGUUCGGAAUUACUGGGCGUAAAGCGCACGUAGGCGGUUUUCCAAGUUGGAGGUGAAAUCCCUGGGCUCAACCCGGGAACUGCCUCCAAAACUGGAUCACUCGAGUCCGAGAGAGGUGAGUGGAAUUUCCAGUGUAGAGGUGAAAUUCGUAGAUAUUGGAAAGAACACCAGUGGCGAAGGCGGCUCACUGGCUCGGUACUGACGCUGAGGUGCGACAGCGUGGGGAGCAAACAGG